UGCCAAGGUUGUGAGUUUUGAAGCCA
This 26-nucleotide non-coding RNA is filed under the name Homo sapiens (human). The record is from RNAcentral. Lineage: Eukaryota; Metazoa; Chordata; Mammalia; Primates; Hominidae.